Non-coding RNA from Cavia porcellus (domestic guinea pig), 393 nucleotides. NCBI's taxonomy places the organism in Eukaryota, Metazoa, Chordata, Mammalia, Rodentia, Caviidae. The record is from the annotation of a RefSeq genome assembly.
AUGAGUCCAGGGAAACGUUACCAAAUCAUGUGGCUGAUGGGAUGGUUGCCAUUGUUUCCAGGUGUCCUGUCCCAGAUGCAGCUGCAGGAGUCAGGUCCUGCCCUGGUGAAGACCUUGAAGACCCGGUCCCUCACCUGCUCAGUCUCUGGAUUCCCCUUCACAACCAGUAGUUAUGCUUGGUGCUGGAUCUGUCAGCCUCCAGGAAAGACCCUGGAGGUGAUGGGAGCUAUAGCCUACAAUGGUGGCACUGGCUACAACCCGUUCAUUGAGAGCCGUAUCUCCAUCUCCGGAGACCCCAGCAAGAACCAGUUCUCUCUCCAGCUGAACUGUCACCAAGGAAGACACAGCCACGUAUUACUGUGCAACAGACACAGAGAUUUGAUGCAAGUGUGA